UACGUAGGGGGCUAGCGUUGUCCGGAAUCAUUGGGCGUAAAGAGCGUGUAGGCGGUCCGGUAAGUCCGCUGUGAAAGUCGGGGGCUCAACCCUCGGAUGCCGAUCGAUACUGUCGGGCUAGAGUCCGGAAGAGGCGAGUGGAAUUCCUGGUGUAGCGGUGAAAUGCGCAGAUAUCAGGAGGAACACCAAUGGCGAAGGCAGCUCGCUGGGACGGUACUGACGCUGAGGCGCGAAAGCGUGGGGAGCAAACAGG
This 253-nucleotide ribosomal RNA is filed under the name uncultured bacterium. RNAcentral describes it as "partial 16S ribosomal RNA". It matches the Rfam family "Bacterial small subunit ribosomal RNA", at positions 524 to 776 of the family's 1533-position model. The record is from RNAcentral.